GCGACUAUGGUGAAACGGUUAUCACGGCAGUUUGUGGCACUGCAAUCAGCGGUUCAAUUCCGCUUAGUCGCCCCA
This 75-nucleotide transfer RNA is filed under the name Candidatus Berkelbacteria bacterium CG_4_8_14_3_um_filter_42_13. RNAcentral describes it as "tRNA-His". It matches the Rfam family "tRNA". From Rfam's summary of the family: Transfer RNA (tRNA) molecules are approximately 80 nucleotides in length. Their secondary structure includes four short double-helical elements and three loops (D, anti-codon, and T loops). Further hydrogen bonds mediate the characteristic L-shaped molecular structure. tRNAs have two regions of fundamental functional importance: the anti-codon, which is responsible for specific mRNA codon recognition, and the 3' end, to which the tRNAs corresponding amino acid is attached (by aminoacyl-tRNA synthetases). tRNAs cope with the degeneracy of the genetic code in two manners: having more than one tRNA (with a specific anti-codon) for a particular amino acid; and 'wobble' base-pairing, i.e. permitting non-standard base-pairing at the 3rd anti-codon position. The record is from RNAcentral. Lineage: Bacteria; Candidatus Berkelbacteria.